GCCCGGGUGGCGGAAUUGGCAGACGCGCUAGGUUCAGGUCCUAGUGAGGGCAACUUCAUAGGGGUUCAAGUCCCCUCCCGGGCA
Treponema saccharophilum DSM 2985 is the source of this 84-nucleotide transfer RNA. It matches the Rfam family "tRNA". Rfam says of the family: Transfer RNA (tRNA) molecules are approximately 80 nucleotides in length. Their secondary structure includes four short double-helical elements and three loops (D, anti-codon, and T loops). NCBI's taxonomy places the organism in Bacteria, Pseudomonadati, Spirochaetota, Spirochaetia, Treponematales, Treponemataceae. The record is from Rfam.